This 87-nucleotide transfer RNA is filed under the name Trichococcus sp. ES5. It matches the Rfam family "tRNA". Rfam says of the family: Transfer RNA (tRNA) molecules are approximately 80 nucleotides in length. Their secondary structure includes four short double-helical elements and three loops (D, anti-codon, and T loops). Further hydrogen bonds mediate the characteristic L-shaped molecular structure. tRNAs have two regions of fundamental functional importance: the anti-codon, which is responsible for specific mRNA codon recognition, and the 3' end, to which the tRNAs corresponding amino acid is attached (by aminoacyl-tRNA synthetases). tRNAs cope with the degeneracy of the genetic code in two manners: having more than one tRNA (with a specific anti-codon) for a particular amino acid; and 'wobble' base-pairing, i.e. permitting non-standard base-pairing at the 3rd anti-codon position. Lineage: Bacteria; Bacillati; Bacillota; Bacilli; Lactobacillales; Carnobacteriaceae. The record is from RNAcentral.
UGCGGUCAUGGCGGAAUGGCAGACGCGCCAGCUUGAGGGGCUGGUGGGAGUAUCUCCCGUGGAAGUUCGAGUCUUCUUGGCCGCAUC